This 73-nucleotide transfer RNA is filed under the name Omphalotus olearius VT 653.13. Its description in RNAcentral is "tRNA-Ile (TAT) (tRNA-Ile-TAT-7-1)". It matches the Rfam family "tRNA". From Rfam's summary of the family: Transfer RNA (tRNA) molecules are approximately 80 nucleotides in length. Their secondary structure includes four short double-helical elements and three loops (D, anti-codon, and T loops). Further hydrogen bonds mediate the characteristic L-shaped molecular structure. tRNAs have two regions of fundamental functional importance: the anti-codon, which is responsible for specific mRNA codon recognition, and the 3' end, to which the tRNAs corresponding amino acid is attached (by aminoacyl-tRNA synthetases). tRNAs cope with the degeneracy of the genetic code in two manners: having more than one tRNA (with a specific anti-codon) for a particular amino acid; and 'wobble' base-pairing, i.e. permitting non-standard base-pairing at the 3rd anti-codon position. The record is from RNAcentral. Lineage: Eukaryota; Fungi; Basidiomycota; Agaricomycetes; Agaricales; Omphalotaceae.
GGACAGAUAGCUCAGUGGUUAGAGCACCUGGUAUAUGGUCAGGAGGUCCUGGGUUCAAGUCCCAGUCUGACCA